Helianthus annuus (common sunflower) is the source of this 473-nucleotide long non-coding RNA. RefSeq lists it as uncharacterized. The record is from RefSeq and is a predicted model, not a curated record. The transcript is spliced from 3 exons. Lineage: Eukaryota; Viridiplantae; Streptophyta; Magnoliopsida; Asterales; Asteraceae.
AGUGUGUCUGGUCGAUCAGGAACGCAGGGGGCGACCAAAACCCUCCACCAAACCCUAACUUCUACAAAAUUGAUCAAUUGAAGGCCAAUUUCAGUCCCAAAUCAAAAUCCGAACAUAGAUUAGUGAUCCUCAUUACAAGGGGGUUGUAAGGAAAGGAUACCGGAGCGUCGAGUGGACAAGCCGGUGGUGAUUUGCGGUUGAAGGGCGUGCACUAAAGGUGACGAUGUGGAUCUUACGGAUGGCGGUCAAGCAAGUUUUGAAGAACCGAACACACUUUAGAAGCUUCCGCGAUAUCUAAAUUUAAUAGACAAUGUUUUGAAAUGUAAUCAAUUAGCUAAACAACUUAUGAAUGUUUGAAAUAGUUGUUAGUUGACUAAUGUUUUGCUGCUUAUGAACUAUAUCUAUGGAACUUAUGUUAUAAUUGGACGUCUUUUAUGUAUAAUUACAUGAAUUAUUAUUAAAUUCAAGUAGUA